This 73-nucleotide transfer RNA is filed under the name Camelus bactrianus (Bactrian camel). It matches the Rfam family "tRNA". Rfam says of the family: Transfer RNA (tRNA) molecules are approximately 80 nucleotides in length. Their secondary structure includes four short double-helical elements and three loops (D, anti-codon, and T loops). Further hydrogen bonds mediate the characteristic L-shaped molecular structure. tRNAs have two regions of fundamental functional importance: the anti-codon, which is responsible for specific mRNA codon recognition, and the 3' end, to which the tRNAs corresponding amino acid is attached (by aminoacyl-tRNA synthetases). tRNAs cope with the degeneracy of the genetic code in two manners: having more than one tRNA (with a specific anti-codon) for a particular amino acid; and 'wobble' base-pairing, i.e. permitting non-standard base-pairing at the 3rd anti-codon position. RNAcentral also lists the same sequence under 1 other name. The record is from Rfam by way of RNAcentral. Lineage: Eukaryota; Metazoa; Chordata; Mammalia; Artiodactyla; Camelidae.
GAGGGCACAGCUCCAGUAGUAGAGCACGUGCUUAGCAUGCCCGAGGUCCUGGGUUCAAUCCCCAGUGCCUCUG